GAAUACUUAUGGAAUACUUAAGCUAAUUAAAUAAUAAAUUCAAACUUUCGGCAUAAUUUAGUAUUACCAAAAUUGAUUCAAUAAAAUUAACAAUACAUAAAUGACAUAUCCCCUAAAAAAAACUACAUAAACGAUAUAUAUAAACAAUGUAACACACAAUUUUUUGAAAUAGCAAAUAUUUAUUUUUAUUUUUUUUAUAUUUUAAAACAGCUCAUAAGACUUUCACUAAAAGAAUUCAUGAUCGUCUUUAAUAUAAAAUCAGAGUAAAAAUAAUUUUCUUUCGAAAGUCUUUUACAAAAUAAUGACUUGAACCAAACACUAUCUUAUUAAUUGUUUUUGGGCAAUGAGUUUCAAAAUCAAAUCAUACAAUUUGUAAAAAAAAACCAUCAUGAAAUAGUGUAUAAGCAUUCAUUUUCCGUUGCAAUAUCAUUUAGCAUGUUUGGUUAGGCGUCCAAAUUACCAAUCCCGUGUUUCGAUGCCGAUUACAUCGCAAUUUUAAUAAGCUACAUAUUUGAGUUUCACACAAAAAGCACGGCUGCAUUCACACCACCGCUGUACCAAACACCGGCUAAAUCAUAACAUGUGAUUCUACUAAACAGAAACAAAUUAAACAACAUAAACCAGUAAGGUAAGGUAACCGAUAGAACAUGUUCGUACAUAGUUGAGAGAAAUAUUAGAAUUGUUCAGGUUAAGCUGGUUUAGGUACCGUGUAGUGUGUUCUUGAACUAGGUUCAUCUGAUCGAGCUAAUAUAUAGGACAACUUUUCGAUUGGCUCUUGCAGUCUUUUCGAUCUCUGGAUCAUGCAACAAGUCUUCGGGUUGCACUCUACCUUGCAUAAACAACAAAACAAUACCUUAUAGUAGCACUUCACAAUACAGAAACAAGAUGAACAACUGAAUUGACAACCCUUAAUUUGGCAACUCUCCCCUUCAAGCACUCAAGUUAUCUAGCCCAUCAUUUAUUUGGAAUGUCCUUUUGAAGCUAAGAGUAUUCAGGCCCUGGAAUUGUAUAUGAAUGAAUGGUUGCAAAAUUGAUGACAUUGUUUAUAAUAAUUUAAGAUUCAUGAUUUCAUUGUUAUCUGGUGCUGGAAUGAAUUUGUAGGCUACAUCAUUUUGUUUUAGGUUGCAACAUUUUUUAUCAUCUUUUUCCAAUCAAAAAAUGUGACAAAUUUAAAAGACUACGGCGAAGCUGCGAUUUAACGAGGGGAAGUUGUAAGGCUAUCAUAAAUUAGUAAUAUUCUCAGAGAAUAACCUUCACUAUCCUGAAGAUUCUCUAUAUCAAUUUUAUCCAGAUAUAUAAGAUAAAUUAGAAUGCUUAAGGUAUGAACCAAACUUUGAAAUAAAUUCAAGUCCUAAAAACAAAAAUUGUGGCAUAAUCAUAAAUUGCAUUCCUAUAAACAAAAACCAACUAUAUCCAAUCAAGCAGAGUCAAACACAGUCAUUAAAACAAAGUAAAAUGAAGGGGGCAGCGUUUAUGUUAAAAACAAAUUAAUAUUUUUUUUGAAAGAAUCAAUAAUAAAAUAUUAAAAAACUAAGAGAAUAUCACUAGGGAUGGGAAUAUGCCAGACCAGCCUACAGGGGCCUACGGCUUAGCCUACGACAAGUCAGGUUAGGGCCAAACUUUUUUCUUAAAUAGAGAAGGCUUAGGCUUUUUUAGAAGCUUAUUUAGCUUAAAAUGCCAGAUUACAGACCAUUCAAAAAACCUCUUAAGCCUAUUAGACCGGC
RNAcentral lists this long non-coding RNA (1724 nucleotides) under Medicago truncatula (barrel medic). RNAcentral's name for it is "long non-coding RNA (MTRU_LNC007120)". Lineage: Eukaryota; Viridiplantae; Streptophyta; Magnoliopsida; Fabales; Fabaceae. The record is from RNAcentral.